ACAGCGUAGGCUUUGCCCUGAUCUCAGUCUGACAUGUCCAGCCUCCAGGCACUGUGCUCCGGCCUGCCCCUGCGGCCCCUCCCAGAGAACCGUGGACGCUGGCCUGGGGUGCCCCACGCCCCAGUCCGAACCCCUGGCCUCAGCCCUGCAGAGGAGCAACUGGCACUGAGGAAUGCCCUCCGGUACUUCCCCCCGGACAUCCAGGAGCUGCUGGCCCCCGAGUUCGCCCAGGAGCUGCGACUGUACGGGCACAUCUACAUGUACCGGUUCUGUCCCGACAUGGAGAUGAGGGCCUACCCGGUGGAGCAGUACCCCUGCCGGACGCGCGCGGCUGCAGCCAUCAUGCACAUGGUCAUGAACAACCUGGACCCUGCCGUGGCCCAGUUCCCCCAGGAGCUUGUGACCUACGGAGGAAACGGGCAGGUGUUCAGCAACUGGGCUCAGUUCUGGCUGACGAUGACCUACCUGGCACAGAUGACAGAGGAGCAGACCCUGGUCAUGUACAGCGGGCACCCGCUGGGCCUCUUCCCCAGCAGCCCCGGGGCCCCAAGGCUGGUUAUCUCCAACGGGAUGGUCAUUCCCAACUACUCCUCCAGGACGGAGUAUGAGAAGCUCUUCGCCAUGGGAGUCACCAUGUACGGCCAGAUGACCGCCGGCAGUUACUGCUACAUCGGCCCCCAGGGAAUCGUCCACGGCACGGUGCUCACUGUGCUGAACGCCGGGCGUCGGUACCUGGGCGUCCAGGAUCUGGCCGGGAAGGUCUUCGUCUCCUCCGGGCUGGGCGGCAUGAGUGGGGCUCAGGCCAAAGCCGCGGUCAUUGUGGGCUGCAUCGGUGUGGUGGCGGAGGUGGACAGAGCGGCCCUGAUGAAACGCCACGAGCAAGGCUGGCUGAUGGAAGUGACCGACAGCUUGGACGGCUGUAUCGAGAGGCUCAGGGAAGCGAGGAAGAGGAAGGAGGUGCUCAGCCUUGGUUACCAUGGCAACGUGGUGGAUCUCUGGGAGCGCCUGGUCUAUGAACUGGACAUGACGGGGGAGCUGUUGGUGGACCUGGGGUCAGACCAGACGUCCUGCCACAACCCGUUCAAUGGUGGCUACUAUCCCGUGCAGCUGAGCUUUGCAGAGGCCCAGAGCCUCAUGGCCUCCGACCCUGUUGCCUUCAAAUGCCUGGUCCAGGAAAGCCUACGGAGGCACGUGGCGGCCAUCAACAGGCUGGCCAAGGAGAACUUCUUCUUCUGGGACUAUGGCAACGCCUUCCUCCUGGAGGCCCAGAGAGCAGGGGCUGACGUGGGGAAGGUGGGGGCCAACAAGACAGAGUUCCGCUACCCCUCCUACGUGCAGCACAUUAUGGGGGACAUAUUCUCCCAGGGAUUUGGGCCUUUCCGCUGGGUGUGCACGUCGGGGGACCCCCAGGACCUGGCGGUCACAGAUCAGCUGGCCACAUCCGUGCUGGAGGAGGCCAUUGCGGGCGGAGUGGACCCGGCUGUGAAGCUGCAGUACAUGGACAACAUCCGCUGGGUCCGCGAGGCUGCCAAGCACCGGCUGGUGGUGGGCUCCCAGGCGAGGAUCCUGUACUCAGACCAGAAAGGCCGUGUGGCCAUCGCUGUGGCCUUCAACCAAGCCAUUGCCCGGGGGGAGAUCAAGGCGCCUGUGGUGCUGAGCCGAGACCACCAUGAUGUCAGCGGCACCGACAGCCCGUUUAGGGAGACCUCCAACAUUCAUGACGGCUCUGCCUUCUGUGCGGACAUGGCUGUGCAGAACUUCGUGGGAGAUGCCUUCCGAGGAGCCACCUGGGUUGCUCUUCACAACGGCGGGGGUGUCGGCUGUGCCGUCCCCUGUGGAGACAUCCCUUAACUCUGCACCCAAGUCUGACGCGCGGGGUUUUCGACACCAGCUGGGUGUCCUGCAGUUCAACUCAGUUCUGACACUGUCGCCGGAGAUGACACCCACGGGUGGAGGGCUCAGUCCCACAGACUGGCCCCCACCCCCACCUCCAUUGCCCCCCACUUCUGACUCCAGUCGCAAGAAAGUCCACGGUGUCACCUGUGCUUCUGCCCGACUGGACCAGCCAUCGCUCAGGGUUCCUGGGACCCCCUCCUCAGGGUCCACUGAUUUGCUAGAGCAGCUCACAGUUUGCAGGGAACCCGUUUACUCGUGAGAUUACUGACUUAUCAGGGAAGAUACCAAAGGACAUGAAUCAACAGGCAGAUGAGGAGAUAUGUGGGGUGAGGACCCAAAGGAGCUCCUGACCUCGUGGAGUCCAGGCCCGGCCCGUGGCAUUGGUCUGGUUCCCCAACCCGGAAGCCCCCCAGACCCGUACUUUGGGGGUUUGUGGGAGUUCCCUUACACGGGCACGAGUGACUGAAUCGUUGGCCGACAGUGACUGACUCAGCGCCCCCGACCUCAGAAGGCCGGCUGGUCGCGUCGUGGACCCCGCUGGCGGCCAGCCCCGCCCUGCCCUCGGGUGAGUUCUGGAGGUCUCCUCCUUAGUGCAAUGGAAGACGUCCGUGCCCUGCUCAUCGCAGGGAGUUCCGAGGGUCUUCGGAGCUCUGGGCCAGGGACGGGACGAAGACCAAAUGUUUAUCUCUUACUACAAAUCACAAUGUCACAUUCACUGCGAAGAAUAAUGAAUAAUAUUUACUGCAAGUGGACCAUGUGGCAAGCAUUUGCUAAACUCUUUGAAUCCACUCUCUCACCUAAUCUCGGGCAAGAAACACAUUUAGUGACAAGGAAACCGAGACACCUGGCUGUGCCUGCGGGGGUCUCCUGGGGAGCUCUGGCCACUGCGGGUUCCUAGCCCCUCGCGGCAGCAAAGGGUGCCGCGGCUUCACAGAGGACAGAUCCCCAGGCUGCCGGCCAUCCCUGAACCUACCUCUGAGCCCGCUUUGGCCUGAUCAGGCCCGGCCUUGUCCUCCAGAGCCAAGUCCAAAGCGAUGCAGCCUCCGGGAGCGCCCUGUGGGCUGACUUGCCCUCAGGCCCUUCGAGGACGAAUUUGGAGCCACCCAGUCAUGUGGCCCUAAUUAAUGGAAAACGUGACUGUGGAUACACAGGCCGACAAAAUCCAGACGGGGACAGUGCCUGGUUACUGGGCGCCAGGUGUCUCGGCACUGGGUUUGCUGAGUUGGUUCUGGAGGUGACAGAGUGACUCAGAAGGAGGGACCCAGCUGGGGGUGGAGCUGGAUUUGGACCCAGACCCCUCGUGGCCCAGGAUCCAUGGCGUUGCUGAUAGGACGCAGAGGGCCAGGCGGGGCGGAACCGAGCACCUGAGAGCGUGCAGGGCUGAGGACCCAGGCACAUGGUCGCUGCUGGCUCUGCCCCCUGGCUCUGAGAGGGGGUGCAGCCCCCAGGCCGCCCCCAGGCUCUGACAGGCGCAGGUGGGGAGGUGCUGGCAUAGGGCCCUUGUCCUGGCUGCCCUCGAGGGCUCCUUUGGGGAAGGACCCUAUCAGACACGCACGUGUGUGUCUGAGCCCGUCAGACACUCCUGCAAGCCCCAAGGCGGGGUCAGUGGGAAAAGCGUCCCGUCCCGUGGCCUUUCUUCCUUCCAGCUCCAGCUGUAUCUUUUGCUCUGUUGUACGGAAAAAGCACAUUCUCAGAUGGGAGCCGCCUGACACUUCCUGACUCGCUUUCAGCUUUGACGCUGUUGGCUGGCUCCCGUUUCCGAGCUGAUCGGGGUCAGCGGCGGGCCCCUCUCUGCUCCCGGAGCUGCCCUGUCUCUGCGGAGCUCCAUUCUCAUCGCCUGCAGGCAUCUGUCCUGUGCCGUCUGCCCGGCGGUCUCUGCUGUCUGCUCCCAGUUAGACAGGGCGCCCUUUGGACUGUGGGCUGCAGAGCGGGGGAGUCGGGGGCCAGUCUGGUCUGGGGCAGGGUGGACAGCUCCGUCAAGCUGCUGUGGUCUCUGUCCGUCCAGUUCCAGGAGCUGCGUGGGGACAGGGCCGCCUGUGGGAGCUGAGGCUUCCCCCCACUCCCUGUGUUGUCACCGUUGCUGUCACCCCCGGAUCAAGCCCCAGGGCCCCGCGUGUGUGAGGAAUCACUGCGUGUAUCCGGCCCACGUCUUCCUCCAAACACGGACGUUCUCCCUCACUAGAGCCCAUCCGGAGCUCGGAUGUGUGCAUUAAGAUGCAGACUCCAACGGCAGGUUGGAGUAGGGGAGGUCCAGCGUCCCUGCCCGGGCCCCCCUCCGCCUGCUGGGCACUCGGGCCCCCAGGGCAGUAGCAGCUCGCACAAUCAGGAGUGUGGGUUUCGAGGCAGAUCUGUCUACACAGUUGCGCUGAGCUUGUUUCUCAGAAACAAGUGGUCGUGAUGACACUGUGCUCUGCAGGCUCGCGGUGAAGAUUCAGUGAACUAGUUAUAGUCGCCAGAGCUGCCGUCGUGCACGACGUGUGGGAUUUGGUGCUUCCUUCGUUGGCACGUCUUACACUGACCCUUCCCACCUGGGAGGUGGGGUUCUGCUUCUGUGUUCUUCUCAGAGGACGGUUCGCUGUCCCGCCCAUUCUGGGAGUUGCCCCUCACCUGCUGCUCAGUUGCAGUCCUCGCCCUCUUCCUGGCCUCAGGGCUCCUCCUGGCAGGGUUUGCAGGGUCACCUGGAGCUGAGCGCUUUGGCUCUCUGACCAUCUGGGAUUCAGGUUCCCAAAAUAAACGAUGUCAUCCUAAUCUCCAAAAGAGCCCCCUGGUCAGAGGACACGUCGGGGCCCUUACUUGGCCACUGUGGCUGCCGCCUGCUUUCCCACCUGCUACUCAGCACCAGCCCCCGACAGGUGAAUGGUGACCUUAACUCUGCCGGGAGCCUCCUCCACCCCAAGGCUGCGGGACUGCUGGGAGCUCAGCUGCAGGGCCAUGGGCCGGGAGUCCUUACCUCCUGGUGGGAGCUGGCUGGAGUUGUCAGUGGGGUCCGGCCGGGCAGAGAAGCAGGGGAGAGGUGAUCAACGGGGGAUUUGGCCUCGUGCUGGACGGGACCCUGGAGGCCGAGCAGAAGGCCAAGAUGGUGCUCAGCUGGGACGUCUCCAACGGAGUGGCCCGCCGCUGUUGGUCCGGGAACCAGAAGGCC
Molecule: non-coding RNA, 5038 nt
Organism: Vicugna pacos (alpaca)
Lineage: Eukaryota; Metazoa; Chordata; Mammalia; Artiodactyla; Camelidae
Source: RefSeq, a predicted model, not a curated record